ACCUACGGGGGGCAGCAGUGGGGGAUAUUGCACAAUGGGGGAAACCCUGAUGCAGCGACGCCGCGUGUGGGAAGACGGUCCUCUGGAUUGUAAACCACUGUCCCCAGGGACGAAGAUGACGGUACCUGGGGAGGAAGCUCCGGCUAACUACGUGCCAGCAGCCGCGGUAAUACGUAGGGAGCGAGCGUUGUCCGGAAUUACUGGGUGUAAAGGGAGCGUAGACGGAGGAGCAAGUCUGAUGUGAAAAUCCGGGGCCCAACCCCGGAACUGCAUUGGAAACUGUUUAUCUAGAGUGUCGGAGAGGG
This 305-nucleotide ribosomal RNA is filed under the name uncultured bacterium. RNAcentral describes it as "bacterial SSU rRNA". It matches the Rfam family "Bacterial small subunit ribosomal RNA", at positions 337 to 658 of the family's 1533-position model. The record is from RNAcentral.